UACGAAGGGGGCUAGCGUUGUUCGGAUUUACUGGGCGUAAAGCGCACGUAGGCGGAUCGUUAAGUCGGGGGUGAAAUCCUGGAGCUCAACUCCAGAACUGCCUUCGAUACUGGCGAUCUUGAGUCCGGAAGAGGUGAGUGGAACUCCUAGUGUAGAGGUGAAAUUCGUAGAUAUUCGCAAGAACACCAGUGGCGAAGGCACUCUACUGGGCCAUUACUGACACUAAGAGACGAAAGCUAGGGGGAGCAAAUGGGG
Molecule: ribosomal RNA, 255 nt
Filed under: uncultured bacterium
Lineage: Bacteria
Description: partial 16S ribosomal RNA
Rfam family: Bacterial small subunit ribosomal RNA
Source: RNAcentral